RNAcentral lists this long non-coding RNA (416 nucleotides) under Amborella trichopoda. Its description in RNAcentral is "long non-coding RNA (ATRI_LNC000796)". Lineage: Eukaryota; Viridiplantae; Streptophyta; Magnoliopsida; Amborellales; Amborellaceae. The record is from RNAcentral.
UUGGAAUUUAAGUAAGAUCUUUUAUUAUAAAUAGUGGUCGUAUUCAGGGUUUUGCUUUCAGACUUAGAUAUCAUUUUGUUCAAAAUCCUGGUUUCACCAGAGAGCUAGAAGCUUGGAUUGUAAGCUUCCUGUUAUUCAAUCAAUUCGAUCUUUGAUUUUUCUAUUUCUCUUUUUUCUUUUCCCCAUACCAUCUGGUAUUAGAGCAGACCCGUUCCCAAAGCGCAUGAGCAUUUGCUGCAAGUUUGCUCGAUGGCGGUUAGCGAGGUCAAGUUCAUGGAUGUGGUGGUGACAAAGUUAUCUGUGAGGGAAUAAAAUGAUCUGAUGAGAAUUGAGCAAGUGGUGUACGAGGGAUGUAAAAAAGGUCAAAUCAAAGGAGAUUUGAGGAUCUGGUGGAUGAGGUGAAGCCAACCCGCUCU